This 461-nucleotide ribosomal RNA is filed under the name uncultured bacterium. Its description in RNAcentral is "partial 16S ribosomal RNA". It matches the Rfam family "Bacterial small subunit ribosomal RNA", at positions 28 to 505 of the family's 1533-position model. The record is from RNAcentral.
GACGAACGCUGGCGGCGUGCUUAACACAUGCAAGUCGAACGGUGAACCUCUUCGGAGGGGAUCAGUGGCGAACGGGUGAGUAACACGUGGGCAACCUGCCCCCGGCUCUGGGAUAACUCCAAGAAAUUGGGGCUAAUACCGGAUGUUCACCGCUUCCCGCAUGGGUGGUGGUGGAAAGGGUUUCCGGCUGGGGAUGGGCCCGCGGCCUAUCAGCUUGUUGGUGGGGUAGUGGCCUACCAAGGCGACGACGGGUAGCCGGCCUGAGAGGGUGACCGGCCACACUGGGACUGAGACACGGCCCAGACUCCUACGGGAGGCAGCAGUGGGGAAUAUUGCGCAAUGGGCGGAAGCCUGACGCAGCGACGCCGCGUGGGGGAUGACGGCCUUCGGGAUGUAAACCUCUUUCAGCAGGGACGAAGCGCAAGUGACGGUACCUGCAGAAGAAGCACCGGCCAACUACG